GAAGCCCGCCAGACCGCCGCUGGCGCAACAGGCCGCAAGGCCGCGCUGGAGGAACGUCCGGACUGCACAGGGCAGCGCAGGAGCUAACGGCUCCCCGCCGCGAGGCGAGGAUCAGAGCAACAGAGACGAGCCGCUUGAGUGCGGGUGAAACGGGCAAUCUCUGCGCGCAGCAACACCAAAUAGGCACACAGUGAGGCGGCCCGCUGAGUGUGCGGGUAGGUGGCAUCGAGCCGGGCGGGCGACCCCCGGCCCAGAUUGAUGGCGGUCACGGCAUGGCGCGCCAUGCCGCACAGAAUCCGGCUUAUCGGCGGACUUCACGC
This 320-nucleotide RNase P RNA is filed under the name Ottowia sp. oral taxon 894. RNAcentral describes it as "bacterial RNase P". It matches the Rfam family "Bacterial RNase P class A". From Rfam's summary of the family: Ribonuclease P (RNase P) is a ubiquitous endoribonuclease, found in archaea, bacteria and eukarya as well as chloroplasts and mitochondria. Its best characterised activity is the generation of mature 5'-ends of tRNAs by cleaving the 5'-leader elements of precursor-tRNAs. Lineage: Bacteria; Pseudomonadati; Pseudomonadota; Betaproteobacteria; Burkholderiales; Comamonadaceae. RNAcentral also lists the same sequence under 2 other names. The record is from RNAcentral.